GAUGAACGCUAGCUACAGGCUUAACACAUGCAAGUCGAGGGGAAACGACAUCGAAAGCUUGCUUUUGAUGGGCGUCGACCGGCGCACGGGUGAGUAACGCGUAUCCAACCUGCCCACCACUUGGGGAUAACCUUGCGAAAGUAAGACUAAUACCCAAUGAUAUCUCUAGAAGACAUCUGAAAGAGAUUAAAGAUUUAUCGGUGAUGGAUGGGGAUGCGUCUGAUUAGCUUGUUGGCGGGGUAACGGCCCACCAAGGCUACGAUCAGUAGGGGUUCUGAGAGGAUGGUCCCCCACAUUGGAACUGAGACACGGUCCAAACUCCUACGGGAGGCAGCAGUGAGGAAUAUUGGUCAAUGGGCGAGAGCCUGAACCAGCCAAGUAGCGUGCAGGACGACGGCCCUAUGGGUUGUAAACUGCUUUUAUAAGGGAAUAGAGUGAGCCUCGUGAGGCUUUUUGCAUGUACCUUAUGAAUAAGGACCGGCUAAUUCCGUGCCAGCCGCCGCAGUAA
Molecule: ribosomal RNA, 508 nt
Filed under: uncultured bacterium
Lineage: Bacteria
Description: partial 16S ribosomal RNA
Rfam family: Bacterial small subunit ribosomal RNA
Source: RNAcentral